Molecule: ribosomal RNA, 467 nt
Filed under: uncultured bacterium
Lineage: Bacteria
Description: partial 16S ribosomal RNA
Rfam family: Bacterial small subunit ribosomal RNA
Source: RNAcentral
GAUGAACGCUGGCGGCGUGCUUAACACAUGCAAGUCGAACGGUGAAGGCGGAGCUUGCUCUGCUGGAUCAGUGGCGGACGGGUGAGUAACACGUGAGCAAUCUGCCCCUGACUCUGGGAUAAGCGCUGGAAACGGCGUCUAAUACUGGAUACGAGCUGCGAAGGCAUCUUCAGCAGCUGGAAAGAAUUUCGGUCAGGGAUGAGCUCGCGGCCUAUCAGCUUGUUGGUGAGGUAAUGGCUCACCAAGGCGUCGACGGGUAGCCGGCCUGAGAGGGUGACCGGCCACACUGGGACUGAGACACGGCCCAGACUCCUACGGGAGGCAGCAGUGGGGAAUAUUGCACAAUGGGCGAAAGCCUGAUGCAGCAACGCCGCGUGAGGGACGACGGCCUUCGGGUUGUAAACCUCUUUUAGCAGGGAAGAAGCGAAAGUGACGGUACCUGCAGAAAAAGCGCCGGCUAACUACGU